Oncorhynchus mykiss (rainbow trout) is the source of this 1048-nucleotide non-coding RNA. The record is from the annotation of a RefSeq genome assembly. Lineage: Eukaryota; Metazoa; Chordata; Actinopteri; Salmoniformes; Salmonidae.
UUGUUCACCUUUUGAUCUUGUGAGUCAAUUUCUCUAUCAAUUUAGCCUCAAUAUUGAGGAUAUUUUGUACUUACCUUUUCUACAUGUUUUUGGGAAACAAUAUACAAGGCCUACACAUAAUAUGGACAAUUUUCACAAGUAUGUUAUUACAUCAUAUUCAAUUUGACCUGCCUUUCAGAGAUGAGAGUGAUUAGCCUACAUUCUAGAUUAGGUGUACGAAUAAACAUACUGCACCUUGUAGGAAAUGUUCAAUAAACAGGAGUUUCAUCAAAAACAAAAGAAAAAGCACUUUAUUUCAAAUGAACAAGAUAAAAUCAUCUUUGGCAAGUCUUCAUACCAUAUUAGAGUCAAUGAUUUGAACCACAGUCUAAAGACAUUCAGCUUGUCCAAUGGUCAGGAGGUUUUUGUACCAGCAGUAAUAGGGAUUGUAUCACUGUGGUACACUUUUGGUAGCGGCACCAGACUAGAUGUUGGAAGUAACAGUGCCCCCACCCUCACCAUCCUGCCCCCCUCUAGUGAGGAGCUGUCCAGUACAACAAUAGCCACACUGAUGUGUCUGGCCAACAAGGGCUUCCCCUCAGACUGGACCAUGAGCUGGAAAGUGGAUGGGACCAGCAAAAAGCAGGAGACCAGUCCCGGGGUUCUGGAGAAGGAUGGUCUGUACAGCUGGAGCAGCACCCUGACUCUCACUGCCCAGGAGUGGACCAAGGCAGGAGAGGUGACCUGUGAAGCCCAGCAGAAAUCCCAGACUCCAGUCACCAAGACCCUGAGGAAGGCUGACUGUUCUGGGUAGGACCCACCAGUCACACACCCCUGUGGAGAGAGAUUGCUGGUUCCUCUGCUUUGACUUGCUUCGUUCUCUGAUUUAGUGAUCACUCUCGUAUAGACUGACAGGGGGCUUGGCUUGAGUUCAUGUGUCAAUCCAUUCUGUAGACUGAGAUUUUGUUAGAUUUAGAUUUGAUGUGAUGUGUUUUAUUCACUAUCAUGUUUGCUUUGAUGCUUCAAUUAUGUAAUAAUGGAUUCAAAUAAAGAUGUAUUUUUGCAAUGC